RNAcentral lists this ribosomal RNA (236 nucleotides) under Proteus mirabilis. Its description in RNAcentral is "partial 23S ribosomal RNA". It matches the Rfam family "Bacterial large subunit ribosomal RNA", at positions 688 to 922 of the family's 2925-position model. The record is from RNAcentral. Lineage: Bacteria; Pseudomonadati; Pseudomonadota; Gammaproteobacteria; Enterobacterales; Morganellaceae.
CUGUGCGAAUGAGUUGCAGGGUAUAGACCCGAAACCCGGUGAUCUAUCCUUGGGCAGGUUGAAGGUUGGGUAACACUAACUGGAGGACAGAACCGACUAAUGUUGAAAAAUUAGCGGAUGACUUGUGGAUGGGGGUGAAAGGCCAAUCAAACCGGGAGAUAGAUGGUUCUCCCCGAAAGCUAUUUAGUUAGAGCCUCGUGAACUCAUCUUCGGGGGUAGAGCACUGUUUCGACUAG